This is a long non-coding RNA of Herpailurus yagouaroundi (jaguarundi), 2891 nucleotides long. RefSeq lists it as uncharacterized. NCBI's taxonomy places the organism in Eukaryota, Metazoa, Chordata, Mammalia, Carnivora, Felidae. The record is from RefSeq and is a predicted model, not a curated record. The transcript has 6 exons.
ACGAAGCGGUACUUGUAACGACGCCAUCGCUGCCACAGGCCCCGCAGCAGGCGGCCCGGCAUGGCCGUCCCGCGGCGCUGUAACGAGGACAGCGCCGGAGAGGGUUGAUUCAUCUUGUUUCUGAUAAAUUUGGUCCUGUGAGAAAUGGCUGCUGGCAGAAAAAUGAAGGAUAAAAGUGGAAAUGAGUACAUAACCACAGGAAAGCUGUUAGAGACAGAUGCCUGCAAAAAGCUGUCAUGUUGACCAUCCAAAUUGUCUUCUACGCCCAGCUGGAUGGCCUCAGCGAUUUCCACCUCAUCUGCAAUAGCCAUCAGACGACGACGCAUCCUGGCUUGGGUAGAGAAAACAAUGGAGGAAAAAGACGUAAUGAAAUGUGAAGCAAAUCAAAUCUAAGCACCUAAUUUUUGAGACCAGUUACAAAAGACAGCAUGUGAUGGAAGGAGGAAGACAAAGGCUGGGCUGAGAGAGCUCCAAAUGGGUGUAAUGGCAGAGGCACAAGGGUGAGUCCAUGCUUCCUUACCACCUGAGACCGGCUGGAUGUGAAGAGGUACGGGGGAGACUCUCUUUCUCCUUACUCCUGGAGAUUCAGAUUUCACUGUGCGGCCCGCCGGGGAGCUGCCAGGAGAAGGACUGCGGCGGCCCUUGGGAGCUGGUGAAGCGGUGCUUGCCUGGCUUUCUCCUGGAGACUCAGCUGCCAAGCUAGAGAAGAUUCACACUAUUCUUUUCUUCACACCCACGAACUUGGGAGAUCUACCAGGCCUAAUGUAAACUAGUUUCUGAGAACCACUGUUUACAGAGGGAGUUUAAGACCAAUAUGGUCCCAUUUCUCAUUUCUUCCGCUCCAAAAAAAACCCACGGAAGCUUCAAAAACUUUUAAUCCUGAGGCUUGUAUUCUUUUGAUAGUCACUGCUAAAAAUUCCAGUUUAUCCCCCACUUUGUUGUGUCCUUGAUACCUGAUGAAGAACCUUUAGAAACCUUUGAGAAAAAUGGGACAUAUGAGCAUCCUCUUCCUGAACUGUUGAUCACAGAUUAGUAAGCAAGGAAAAGGAUACUAAUACUUUAUAGUAUCGGGUAAAUGUCUAUUUCCUUUUAAGAAUUCCCCUUUGUGCUACACGACAAAUCUAGGGUUGUGUCUAAAUGACAACCAACGGAUAAGUAUAGGGGGCUUUUACAAUACGUUACAGAAGUAGACUGGAACUCCCUAUACCACUACUGGGGACAGCUUCCCACAAAGCACUGUCUCCUGUCCUCAGUCUAAGAGCACUAGUACAUAGUCCAUGGCACAAAGCAGGUAUUGGGGGGUGGGGGGAGGGAUGGCUGUUCCUUAACCAUUUUGCUUUUCAUCAAAAAGAUCCCAAAUCAGUGUUAUAUGGAGGCUCUGGUGUAUGCUUUUCUUUGGAACUUUCUCCAAUGGGUGUGUUAACGACAUUUUUACUAAGUCAAUUAUUUUUCAAAAAGCAUGGCAGUUCAGUUUGAGUAUUCUUUUAAGAGAUCAAAUGAGUAUGGCUAGUAAUUGGAAGACUGGACUGUUACUGUAUAUAUUCCUCUCUUUUAAGAAAAGUUGGUUUAGUUAAAAAUGUAACAAUUUGAGUGAAUACCAUCUAUGUUGAUAAAAAACCCUUGGGCUAUUUUCACUGUUCCCAGAUUAAUGGAGGAGAGUAUGAUAUAGCACCAAAUUAGAGCACAAAGCCCUCUUACAUCCUUUGCUAGGAGAAUGAUUUCUUUCAAAUGCCGCAGAACAGCUGAUACUAUUUCUAUAGUACUACUUCCUUCUAGCUGGUGGAAAGGCAUGUUAACUGGGAUGCUCAAAAUGAGGAAAAAUGACUUCCUAAUAAAUGUUGCUUUUCUUCUUUAUGCUUUUAAUGCUAGAAACCCACUCUGUUCAAUGAAUGUUGGCAUGUCUACUACAUGUAAGCUCUGGUCUAAGCAUCAGAUACACAAAGUGGGAUAAAGAAACAAAAGAUAAAUAAGACAGGACCUCUAUCCCUCCAGGUGCUUAGUCUAGCACUUCUCUAUGGUAAAGAAAAUAUGAGGCCAUCUCUGCAACAAUAGAAGUAUUUUAACAUACCAUAAAUAGUUGCAAGGAUGGAGUGGAUCUCCAUCCCUUAAAUUUAUCUAGGGGAAUCCUGGAAAGAUCCACAGAGAAGGUAACACCUGAAUAAUUUUAAAGGAAAGAGAAGGACUGGCAUGGAGUUGAUUAAGGCUGAAAGAUUUUCUAGACAAAAGAUCUAACUUUGGUGAAAAUAAUGUUCUAUAAAAUACUAAACAGUUUAUAACCCUACUGUUAGGAAAUAUUAGAUAAAAUGAAAUUAAAUGAGUUUAUUUAAAGACCUAUGUGCAUCUUAAUUUUCUAAGAGGGGUGAAAAAAGAAGAUACACAGCAUUCCUCACAUUGGCAGAGAAGCCCCUUUUAGCAGAACACCUUUGGUAGAGUAGUGGUUCUUGGUAUAUAUUGUGAGAAAUCUGUACUGAAUCAUCUAUAUAGUCCCUUUUGGCUCAAAUAAGUCAAUAUAUCUAAGAAGAAAAAUCUAGAGAAGAAACUAAAACUAGCUGUCUUACUAUCUUAAUGUAAGACUUCUCAAGCUAUCAUAAAAUUCAGCAUGUCUUUAGAGCAACUAAGGCUCUAAGAUUUCAAAAUAUGGGGAAAAAGAUUAUUUGACAGCCAGCUAGAGAGAUGGGUAAAAUCACCUGAUGUGAACCCAUCCUAAGAGAAGUGGGUGUCAGACAUGCAAACUUGGACUAAUCUAACGACUAGCAGAGGCCAGAGUUUGUCACUAAGAUUUGCCCCUGUCUACUCACUCUCUGCCAAGGACUUAGGUCUUGGGUAAACGUAAGACACCAGACAAAGGGGGAAAAAAAAACAAAAAACAAAAACAAAACCUGGACAAGCCA